This 253-nucleotide ribosomal RNA is filed under the name uncultured bacterium. RNAcentral describes it as "partial 16S ribosomal RNA". It matches the Rfam family "Bacterial small subunit ribosomal RNA", at positions 524 to 776 of the family's 1533-position model. The record is from RNAcentral.
UACGUAGGGCGCAAGCGUUGUCCGGAAUUAUUGGGCGUAAAGAGCUCGUAGGCGGCCUGUUGCGUCCGCUGUGAAAUCCCGGGGCUCAACCCCGGGCCUGCAGUCGAUACGAGCAAACUAGAGUGUUGCAGGGGAGACUGGAAUUCCUGGUGUAGCGGUGAAAUGCGCAGAUAUCAGGAGGAACACCGGUGGCGAAGGCGGGUCUCUGGGCAACAACUGACGCUGAGGAGCGAAAGCGUGGGGAGCGAACAGG